UUCUGACCUCGAAUCAGGUGGGACUACCCGCUGAACUUAAGCAUAUCAAUAAGCGGAGGAAAAGAAACUAACAAGGAUUCCCUUAGUAACUGCGAGUGAAGUGGGAUGAGCUCAAAUUUAAAAUCUGGUAGUCUCUGGCUGCCCGAGUUGUAAUCUAGAGAAGUGUUUUCUGUGCUGGACUGUGUUUAAGUUUCCUGGAUAUGGAACAUCAUAGAGGGUGAGAAUCCCGUCUUUGACACAGACUGCCAGUACUCUGUGAUGCACUCUCAACGAGUCGAGUUGUUUGGGAUUGCAGCUCAAAAUGGGAGGUAAAUUCCUUCUAAAGCUAAAUAUUGGCGAGAGACCGAUAGCGAACAAGUACCGUGAGGGAAAGAUGAAAAGCACUUUGG
This 389-nucleotide ribosomal RNA is filed under the name Hydnum repando-orientale. RNAcentral describes it as "partial 28S ribosomal RNA". It matches the Rfam family "Eukaryotic large subunit ribosomal RNA", at positions 1 to 379 of the family's 3401-position model. Lineage: Eukaryota; Fungi; Basidiomycota; Agaricomycetes; Cantharellales; Hydnaceae. The record is from RNAcentral.